GUGGGGAAUAUUGGACAAUGGGCGAAAGCCUGAUCCAGCCAUGCCGCGUGUGUGAAGAAGGCCUUUUGGUUGUAAAGCACUUUAAGCGAGGAGGAGGCUACUUGGAUUAAUACUCUAGGAUAGUGGACGUUACUCGCAGAAUAAGCACCGGCUAACUCUGUGCCAGCAGCCGCGGUAAUACAGAGGGUGCGAGCGUUAAUCGGAUUUACUGGGCGUAAAGCGUGCGUAGGCGGCUUUUUAAGUCGGAUGUGAAAUCCCUGAGCUUAACUUAGGAAUUGCAUUCGAUACUGGGAAGCUAGAGUAUGGGAGAGGAUGGUAGAAUUCCAGGUGUAGCGGUGAAAUGCGUAGAGAUCUGGAGGAAUACCGAUGGCGAAGGCGACCACCUGGACUGAUACUGACACUGAGGUGCGAAAGCGUGGGAAGCAAACAGGAUUAGAAACCCGGGUAGUCC
This 451-nucleotide ribosomal RNA is filed under the name uncultured bacterium. RNAcentral describes it as "partial 16S ribosomal RNA". It matches the Rfam family "Bacterial small subunit ribosomal RNA", at positions 354 to 796 of the family's 1533-position model. The record is from RNAcentral.